Molecule: long non-coding RNA, 564 nt
Filed under: Marmota monax (woodchuck)
Lineage: Eukaryota; Metazoa; Chordata; Mammalia; Rodentia; Sciuridae
Source: RNAcentral
GUCUUACUCUCCCUUUUAAAAUAUUUUAAUUCACACUUUAAAAGUUAAGAUGGUAUGGAACUUUCCUAGGUUCAUUAUGAAGGAAUCUAGUCUUGUCUUUAUCUUGUGUCUUGUGCCUUCAGGAUCUGAUUGCUGUCUAGAGGCAUGGUCUUGACUCUGCUCUCCCCUGGUCUUUCAGGGUAAAGGUGGCAGUAAUGCUAACGCUGGCAAGCAAGCUGAAGCGGGAUGACGGUCUCAAAGGGUCCCGGACGUCAGCCACCAUGUCUGACUCCACUCGGAGGGUCUCGGUGAGAGACAAGUUGCUUGUCAAAGGUAAGCAGCAUCCUGGAAGCUGAUUCUACAUGCUGUCGCCAAGUGAAGCUUGCUGGAGACACUUCUCUGCUGCUGAAUGGAAACACUUGUUCAAAAAGAUUUUAGGGAAAUACUUAUACCUCGCAGAUGAUAAUGGGAGGAUCUCAGAGACUAUGGUGCCUUAUGCACUGGCAGUGUUUUUUGGGGGCUUGCCAGUGUGCUAGCAGAAGGAAUAAGGUGCUAGGAGUCAGUAGGCCUAAGACCUGUUGUGUG